RNAcentral lists this ribosomal RNA (1877 nucleotides) under Ralstonia mannitolilytica. Its description in RNAcentral is "bacterial LSU rRNA". It matches the Rfam family "Bacterial large subunit ribosomal RNA", at positions 59 to 1987 of the family's 2925-position model. The record is from RNAcentral. Lineage: Bacteria; Pseudomonadati; Pseudomonadota; Betaproteobacteria; Burkholderiales; Burkholderiaceae.
UAGUAGCCUGCGAAAGCUGCGGGGAGCUGGCAAACAAGCUUUGAUCCGCAGAUGUCCGAAUGGGGAAACCCGGCCCGUAUGGGUCAUCUGUUACUGAAUACAUAGGUAACAGAAGCGAACGCAGUGAACUGAAACAUCUAAGUAGCUGCAGGAACAGAAAUCAACCGAGAUUCCCAAAGUAGUGGCGAGCGAAAUGGGAUCAGCCUUGUACUCUUUAGCAGUAUUGUUAGCAGAACGGAAUGGAAAGUCCGGCCAUAGUGGGUGAUAGCCCCGUAUGCGAAAACAGUAUUGUGGAACUAGGUGUACGACAAGUAGGGCGGGACACGUGAAAUCCUGUCUGAAGAUGGGGGGACCAUCCUCCAAGGCUAAAUACUCGUGAUCGACCGAUAGUGAACCAGUACCGUGAGGGAAAGGCGAAAAGAACCCCGGGAGGGGAGUGAAAUAGAUCCUGAAACCGCAUGCAUACAAACAGUCGGAGCCUGGAAACGGGUGACGGCGUACCUUUUGUAUAAUGGGUCAGCGACUUACAUUCAGUGGCAAGCUUAACCGAUUAGGGAAGGCGUAGCGAAAGCGAGUCCGAAUAGGGCGUUCAGUCGCUGGGUGUAGACCCGAAACCAAGUGAUCUAUCCAUGGCCAGGUUGAAGGUGCGGUAACACGUACUGGAGGACCGAACCCACUAACGUUGAAAAGUUAGGGGAUGAGCUGUGGAUAGGGGUGAAAGGCUAAACAAACUUGGAAAUAGCUGGUUCUCUCCGAAAACUAUUUAGGUAGUGCCUCGUGUCUCACCUUCGGGGGUAGAGCACUGUCAUGGUUGGGGGGUCUAUUGCUGAUUACCCCGCCAUAGCAAACUCCGAAUACCGAAGAGUGCAAUCACGGGAGACAGACAUCGGGUGCUAACGUCCGGUGUCAAGAGGGAAACAACCCAGACCGCCAGCUAAGGUCCCUAAAUAUGGCUAAGUGGGAAACGAAGUGGGAAGGCUAAAACAGUCAGGAGGUUGGCUUAGAAGCAGCCACCCUUUAAAGAAAGCGUAAUAGCUCACUGAUCGAGUCGUCCUGCGCGGAAGAUGUAACGGGGCUAAGCCAUAUACCGAAGCUGCGGAUGCACGUAAGUGCAUGGUAGGAGAGCGUUCUGUAAGCCUGUGAAGGUGUCUUGUAAAGGAUGCUGGAGGUAUCAGAAGUGCGAAUGCUGACAUGAGUAGCGAUAAAGGGGGUGAAAGGCCCCCUCGCCGUAAGCCCAAGGUUUCCUACGCAACGUUCAUCGGCGUAGGGUGAGUCGGCCCCUAAGGCGAGGCAGAGAUGCGUAGCUGAUGGGAAGCAGGUUAAUAUUCCUGCACCGUCGUAUGAUGCGAUGGGGGGACGGAUCGCGGAAGGUUGUCCGGGUGUUGGAUGUCCCGGUCCCUGCAUUGGAGAUGGCACUUAGGCAAAUCCGGGUGCGUGAUUCAAGGGUGUGGGGCGAGCGACUUUAGGUCGCGAAGCAAUUGGAAGUGGUUCCAAGAAAAGCCUCUAAGCUUCAGUCAUACGAGACCGUACCGCAAACCGACACAGGUGGGCGAGAUGAGUAUUCUAAGGCGCUUGAGAGAACUCGGGAGAAGGAACUCGGCAAAUUGGUACCGUAACUUCGGGAUAAGGUACGCCCUUGUAGUUUGACUGGCUCGCGCCAGAAGGAUGAAGGGGUUGCAAUAAAAUGGUGGCUGCGACUGUUUAAUAAAAACACAGCACUCUGCAAACACGAAAGUGGACGUAUAGGGUGUGACGCCUGCCCGGUGCCGGAAGAUUAAAUGAUGGGGUGCAAGCUCUUGAUUGAAGUCCCGGUAAACGGCGGCCCGUAACUAUAACGGUCCUAAGGUAGCGAAAUUCCUUGUCGGGUAAGUUCCGAC